UACGUAGGGUGCGAGCGUUAAUCGGAAUUACUGGGCGUAAAGGGUGCGCAGGCGGUUAUGUAAGUCUGACGUGAAAUCCCUGGGCUUAACCCGGGAAUGGCGUUGGAGACUGUAUAGCUAGAGUGUGUCAGAGGGGGGUAGAAUUCCACGUGUAGCAGUGAAAUGCGUAGAGAUGUGGAGGAACACCGAUGGCGAAGGCAGCCCCCUGGGAUAACACUGACGCUCAGGCACGAAAGCGUGGGGAGCAAACAGG
This 253-nucleotide ribosomal RNA is filed under the name uncultured prokaryote. RNAcentral describes it as "partial 16S ribosomal RNA". It matches the Rfam family "Bacterial small subunit ribosomal RNA", at positions 524 to 776 of the family's 1533-position model. The record is from RNAcentral.